UUAACCAACCUUACACUCAUGACAAAUGUGUGAUUAACUAGGGUUUAACCUUUUUUUCAAAUAAGCCUAAAGGAAAAAGAAAAGAAAAAAAAACUCAUACUAAAUGCAGACUGCAGAGAAGAAGAAUUUUAUGGGUUUAUACCCUAUUUAAGUUAACAUAAAAAUAUCAAGGAGACUAUAUACUAAUAUGUCAGGGAAACAGAUAGCACAUGGCUGUAUAGAGAGAGCUAUUGGUAGCUAAAACCUUGUCAACAGUCACAACCCGGCAAAGAAUUUAUGAGCUUCGCGAUAUCGUUCCAAAACAACAUUAAAGAGAGGAUGGAUUGGUUCUAAGAGAUUGGAGUAAGGGCCCAUUACUACCUUAGGCAGCGGUGGAGAAUCAGGGCGCUUCGACCAACUAUAUUGGCACAAUGAAAGCCCACUUAAACAGUAACAUGUGUGAUAGUGAUCCCUGCGUUUACCCGGUUUGUCCCUUAGUCCACCGUCUUGCUCCUGCAUCAAUCAAGCACAGAUUAAUGUUGAGUGAGGGGCAAAAAGAAUCAAAGCAUUUAUAAUGAAAUGCAAGAUAGAUAUCCUAACUUCCCAAGAGUUAGUCAAAACUCUAAAAGCAUCAUUCCAAAGUGAUAUGGUCACUAAAUUUUUAUACAAAUGAAGUAAUGCAAAUUCAACAAAUUGAAGCUAGAAUGCAAGCACAUAGAUAGUAUGCAAUCAAAUGUCAGAAAAACGAGCAUGGUUUUAACCUAAAAAUAAAGGGAAAAACUAUCAAAAGGUUAAGCUUUGUUUUUCAAUUGUCAGAAAGUGCAAUCAUCUGAGUCAACCUUUCUUUAGUUGACAAGUCAAAUGAUUCAAUUAAUAUUUUGAUACUGUUAGUUUUUACAGUUACAGAAAAUUUAAAAAUCUACCUCUUAUCCA
Molecule: non-coding RNA, 912 nt
Organism: Cicer arietinum (chickpea)
Lineage: Eukaryota; Viridiplantae; Streptophyta; Magnoliopsida; Fabales; Fabaceae
Source: RefSeq, a predicted model, not a curated record